GGCUCCAUCGUCUAGUUUGGUCUAGGAUGUCGCUCUGUCGAAGCGAAGACAGGAGUUCAAAUCUCCUUGGAGUCG
Molecule: transfer RNA, 75 nt
Filed under: Microcoleus sp. SIO2G3
Lineage: Bacteria; Bacillati; Cyanobacteriota; Cyanophyceae; Oscillatoriales; Microcoleaceae
Description: tRNA-Asp
Rfam family: tRNA
About the family: Transfer RNA (tRNA) molecules are approximately 80 nucleotides in length. Their secondary structure includes four short double-helical elements and three loops (D, anti-codon, and T loops).
Source: RNAcentral